Molecule: ribosomal RNA, 740 nt
Filed under: Bacillus sp. 778
Lineage: Bacteria; Bacillati; Bacillota; Bacilli; Caryophanales; Bacillaceae
Description: bacterial SSU rRNA
Rfam family: Bacterial small subunit ribosomal RNA
Source: RNAcentral
AGCACGCCGCGUGAGUGAUGAAGGCUUUCGGGUCGUAAAACUCUGUUUGUUAGGGAAGAACAAGUGCUAGUUGAAUAAGCUGGCACCUUGACGGUACCUAACCAGAAAGCCACGGCUAACUACGUGCCAGCAGCCGCGGUAAUACGUAGGUGGCAAGCGUUAUCCGGAAUUAUUGGGCGUAAAGCGCGCGCAGGUGGUUUCUUAAGUCUGAUGUGAAAGCCCACGGCUCAACCGUGGAGGGUCAUUGGAAACUGGGAGACUUGAGUGCAGAAGAGGAAAGUGGAAUUCCAUGUGUAGCGGUGAAAUGCGUAGAGAUAUGGAGGAACACCAGUGGCGAAGGCGACUUUCUGGUCUGUAACUGACACUGAGGCGCGAAAGCGUGGGGAGCAAACAGGAUUAGAUACCCUGGUAGUCCACGCCGUAAACGAUGAGUGCUAAGUGUUAGAGGGUUUCCGCCCUUUAUGCUGAAGUUAACGCAUUAAGCACUCCGCCUGGGGAGUACGGCCGCAGGCUGAAACUCAUAGGAAUUGACGGGGGCCCGCACAAGCGGUGGAGCAUGUGGUUUAAUUCUAACAACGCGAAGAACCUUACCAGGUCUUGACGUCCUCUGAAAACCCUAGAGAUAGGGCUUCUCCUUCGGAGUCAGAGUGACAUGCGGUGCAUGUUGUCUCCUCUCGUGUCGUGAGAUGUUGGGUUAAGUCCGUCACAAGCGCAACCCUUGCUCUUAUUUUCCAUCGUUA